RNAcentral lists this ribosomal RNA (471 nucleotides) under uncultured bacterium. RNAcentral's name for it is "bacterial SSU rRNA". It matches the Rfam family "Bacterial small subunit ribosomal RNA", at positions 329 to 794 of the family's 1533-position model. The record is from RNAcentral.
UGCCAGACUCCUACGGGAGGCAGCAGUGAGGAAUAUUGGUCAAUGGGCGGGAGCCUGAACCAGCCAAGUCGCGUGAGGGAAGACGGUCCUAUGGAUUGUAAACCUCUUUAGGCGGGGAGCAAUGCCGGGCACGUGUGCCCGGAGGGAGAGUACCGUACGAAUAAGCAUCGGCUAACUCCGUGCCAGCAGCCGCGGUAAUACGGGGGAUGCAAGCGUUAUCCGGAUUUAUUGGGUUUAAAGGGUGCGUAGGCUGUGAGGUAAGUCAGCGGUGAAAUGCCCCCGCUCAACGGGGUGAAGUGCCAUUGAUACUGCCUUGCUGGAAUGCGGAUGCCGGGGGAGGAAUGUGUGGUGUAGCGGUGAAAUGCAUAGAUAUCACACAGAACACCGAUUGCGAAGGCAUCGCACGAAUCCGCGAUUGACGCUGAUGCACGAAAGCGUGGGUAUCAAACAGGAUUAGAUACCCCUGUAUUA